CCUACGGGAGGCAGCAGUGGGGAAUUUUGGACAAUGGGGGAAACCCUGAUCCAGCCAUUCCGCGUGAGUGAAGAAGGCCUUCGGGUUGUAAAGCUCUUUCGGCAGGAACGAAACGGCGGACUCUAACAUAGUCUGUCAAUGACGGUACCUGAAGAAGAAGCACCGGCUAACUACGUGCCAGCAGCCGCGGUAAUACGUAGGGUGCGAGCGUUAAUCGGAAUUACUGGGCGUAAAGCGUGCGCAGGCGGCUUUGUAAGACGGAUGUAAAAUCCCUGGGCUUAACCUAGGAACUGCGUUCGUGACUGCAAAGCUAGAGUGCGGCAGAGGGGGGUGGAAUUCCUGGUGUAGCAGUAAAAUGCGUAGAGAUCAGGAGGAACACCGAUGGCGAAGGCAGCUUGCUGGAACGGUCCUGACACUCAGGGACGAAAGCGUGGGGAGCGAUACGGAUUAGAUACCCCUGUAGU
This 464-nucleotide ribosomal RNA is filed under the name uncultured Rhodocyclaceae bacterium. Its description in RNAcentral is "partial 16S ribosomal RNA". It matches the Rfam family "Bacterial small subunit ribosomal RNA", at positions 338 to 794 of the family's 1533-position model. Lineage: Bacteria; Pseudomonadati; Pseudomonadota; Betaproteobacteria; Rhodocyclales; Rhodocyclaceae. The record is from RNAcentral.